GACGAACGCUGGCGGCGUGCUUAACACAUGCAAGUCGAACGGAAAGGCCCUGCUUGCAGGGUACUCGAGUGGCGAACGGGUGAGUAACACGUGGGUGAUCUGCCCUGCACUUCGGGAUAAGCUUGGGAAACUGGGUCUAAUACCGGAUAGGAGCCAUCUUUAGUGUGGUGGUUGGAAAGUUUUUUCGGUGUAGGAUGAGCUCGCGGCCUAUCAGCUUGUUGGUGGGGUAAUGGCCUACCAAGGCGGCGACGGGUAGCCGGCCUGAGAGGGUGUACGGCCACAUUGGGACUGAUAUACGGCCCAGCCCCCUACGGGGGGCAGCAGUGGGGAAUUUUGCCCAAUGGGCGCAAGCCUGAUGCAGCGACGCCGCGUGGGGGAUGAAGGCCUUCGGGUUUUAAACUCCUUUCCCCAGGGAAGAAGCUUUUUGUGACGGUACCUAGAGAAGAAGCCCCGGCUAACUACGU
This 464-nucleotide ribosomal RNA is filed under the name uncultured bacterium. Its description in RNAcentral is "partial 16S ribosomal RNA". It matches the Rfam family "Bacterial small subunit ribosomal RNA", at positions 28 to 506 of the family's 1533-position model. The record is from RNAcentral.